AGCACUCAUCCAUUGACCCGUCGAUUUCCGAAUGGGGGAACCCUAUAAACUACUUCCUGAAUUCAUAGGGAAGAAAGAGCCAACCCGGGGAAGUGAACCAUCUCAGUACCCGGAGGAAAAGAAAACAACAGUGAUCCCGUCAGUAGCGGCGAGCGAAAGCGGAACAGCCUAAACCGACAGGGCUUGCUCUGUCGGGGUCGUGGGACCAGAUACAACGGAUCCGGAGGCUUAGCGGAAGGGUGU
Molecule: ribosomal RNA, 243 nt
Filed under: Vibrio parahaemolyticus
Lineage: Bacteria; Pseudomonadati; Pseudomonadota; Gammaproteobacteria; Vibrionales; Vibrionaceae
Description: partial 23S ribosomal RNA
Rfam family: Bacterial large subunit ribosomal RNA
Source: RNAcentral